UACGUAGGGUGCGAGCGUUGUCCGGAAUUACUGGGCGUAAAGGGCGCGUAGGCGGCCUGUUAAGUCGAACGUGAAAUCCCUGGGCUCAACCCAGGAACUGCGUCCGAUACUGGCAGGCUUGAAUUCGGGAGAGGGAUGCGGAAUUCCAGGUGUAGCGGUGAAAUGCGUAGAUAUCUGGAGGAACACCGGUGGCGAAGGCGGCAUCCUGGACCGAGAUUGACGCUGAGGCGCGAAAGCCAGGGGAGCAAACGGG
This 253-nucleotide ribosomal RNA is filed under the name uncultured bacterium. RNAcentral describes it as "partial 16S ribosomal RNA". It matches the Rfam family "Bacterial small subunit ribosomal RNA", at positions 524 to 776 of the family's 1533-position model. The record is from RNAcentral.